This 324-nucleotide ribosomal RNA is filed under the name uncultured bacterium. RNAcentral describes it as "bacterial SSU rRNA". It matches the Rfam family "Bacterial small subunit ribosomal RNA", at positions 28 to 353 of the family's 1533-position model. The record is from RNAcentral.
GACGAACGCUGGCGGCGUGCUUAACACAUGCAAGUCGAGCGGUAAGGCCCUUUCGGGGUACACGAGCGGCGAACGGGUGAGUAACACGUGGGUGACCUGCCCUCAGCUCUGGGAUAAGCCGUGGGAAACCGGGUCUAAUACUGGAUAUGACUCCAUGACGCAUGUUGGUGGGGUGGAAAGCCUUGUGCGGCUGAGGAUGGGCCCGCGGCCUAUCAGCUUGUUGGUGGGGUGAGGCCUACCAAGGCGACGACGGGUAGCCGGCCUGAGAGGGCGACCGGCCACACUGGGACUGAGACACGGCCCAGACUCCUACGGGAGGCAGCA